RNAcentral lists this ribosomal RNA (1372 nucleotides) under uncultured bacterium. Its description in RNAcentral is "bacterial SSU rRNA". It matches the Rfam family "Bacterial small subunit ribosomal RNA", at positions 28 to 1381 of the family's 1533-position model. The record is from RNAcentral.
GAUGAACGCUGGCGGCGUGCCUAAUACAUGCAAGUCGAGCGAACGGACGAGAAGCUUGCUUCUCUGAUGUUAGCGGCGGACGGGUGAGUAACACGUGGAUAACCUACCUAUAAGACUGGGAUAACUUCGGGAAACCGUAGCUAAUACCGGAUAAUAUUUUGAACCGCAUGGUUCAAAAGUGAAAGACGGUCUUGCUGUCACUUAUAGAUGGAUCCGCGCUGCAUUAGCUAGUUGGUAAGGUAACGGCUUACCAAGGCAACGAUGCAUAGCCGACCUGAGAGGGUGAUCGGCCACACUGGAACUGAGACACGGUCCAGACUCCUACGGGAGGCAGCAGUAGGGAAUCUUCCGCAAUGGGCGAAAGCCUGACGGAGCAACGCCGCGUGAGUGAUGAAGGUCUUCGGAUCGUAAAACUCUGUUAUUAGGGAAGAACAUAUGUGUAAGUAACUGUGCACAUCUUGACGGUACCUAAUCAGAAAGCCACGGCUAACUACGUGCCAGCAGCCGCGGUAAUACGUAGGUGGCAAGCGUUAUCCGGAAUUAUUGGGCGUAAAGCGCGCGUAGGCGGUUUUUUAAGUCUGAUGUGAAAGCCCACGGCUCAACCGUGGAGGGUCAUUGGAAACUGGAAAACUUGAGUGCAGAAGAGGAAAGUGGAAUUCCAUGUGUAGCGGUGAAAUGCGCAGAGAUAUGGAGGAACACCAGUGGCGAAGGCGACUUUCUGGUCUGUAACUGACGCUGAUGUGCGAAAGCGUGGGGAUCAAACAGGAUUAGAUACCCUGGUAGUCCACGCCGUAAACGAUGAGUGCUAAGUGUUAGGGGGUUUCCGCCCCUUAGUGCUGCAGCUAACGCAUUAAGCACUCCGCCUGGGGAGUACGACCGCAAGGUUGAAACUCAAAGGAAUUGACGGGGACCCGCACAAGCGGUGGAGCAUGUGGUUUAAUUCGAAGCAACGCGAAGAACCUUACCAAAUCUUGACAUCCUUUGACAACUCUAGAGAUAGAGCCUUCCCCUUCGGGGGACAAAGUGACAGGUGGUGCAUGGUUGUCGUCAGCUCGUGUCGUGAGAUGUUGGGUUAAGUCCCGCAACGAGCGCAACCCUUAAGCUUAGUUGCCAUCAUUAAGUUGGGCACUCUAAGUUGACUGCCGGUGACAAACCGGAGGAAGGUGGGGAUGACGUCAAAUCACCAUGCCCCUUAUGAUUUGGGCUACACACGUGCUACAAUGGACAAUACAAAGGGCAGCGAAACCGCGAGGUCAAGCAAAUCCCAUAAAGUUGUUCUCAGUUCGGAUUGUGGUCUGCAACUCGACUACAUGAAGCUGGAAUCGCUAGUAAUCGUAGAUCAGCAUGCUACGGUGAAUACGUUCCCGGGUCU